RNAcentral lists this ribosomal RNA (1084 nucleotides) under Bullimyces aurisporus. Its description in RNAcentral is "SSU rRNA". It matches the Rfam family "Eukaryotic small subunit ribosomal RNA", at positions 41 to 1135 of the family's 1831-position model. The record is from RNAcentral. Lineage: Eukaryota; Fungi; Ascomycota; Sordariomycetes.
AGAUUAAGCCAUGCAUGUCUAAGUAUAAGCAAUUAUACCGCGAAACUGCGAAUGGCUCAUUAAAUCAGUUAUCGUUUAUUUGAUAGUACCUUACUACUUGGAUAACCGUGGUAAUUCUAGAGCUAAUACAUGCUAAAAAUCCCGACUUCGGAAGGGAUGUAUUUAUUAGAUUAAAAACCAAUGCCCUUCGGGGCUCACUGGUGAUUCAUAAUAACUUCUCGAAUCGCAUGGCCUUGCGCCGGCGAUGGUUCAUUCAAAUUUCUGCCCUAUCAACUUUCGACGGCUGGGUCUUGGCCAGCCAUGGUGACAACGGGUAACGGAGGGUUAGGGCUCGACCCCGGAGAAGGAGCCUGAGAAACGGCUACUACAUCCAAGGAAGGCAGCAGGCGCGCAAAUUACCCAAUCCCGACGCGGGGAGGUAGUGACAAUAAAUACUGAUACAGGGCUCUUUUGGGUCUUGUAAUUGGAAUGAGUACAAUUUAAAUCCCUUAACGAGGAACAAUUGGAGGGCAAGUCUGGUGCCAGCAGCCGCGGUAAUUCCAGCUCCAAUAGCGUAUAUUAAAGUUGUUGCAGUUAAAAAGCUCGUAGUUGAACCUUGGGCCUGGCUGGCCGGUCCGCCUCACCGCGUGCACUGGUCCGGCCGGGCCUUUCCCUCUGGGGAACCGCAUGCCCUUCACUGGGUGUGCUGGGGAACCAGGACUUUUACUUUGAAAAAAUUAGAGUGUUCAAAGCAGGCCUAUGCUCGAAUACAUUAGCAUGGAAUAAUAGAAUAGGACGUGUGGUUCUAUUUUGUUGGUUUCUAGGACCGCCGUAAUGAUUAAUAGGGACAGUCGGGGGCAUCAGUAUUCAAUUGUCAGAGGUGAAAUUCUUGGAUUUAUUGAAGACUAACUACUGCGAAAGCAUUUGCCAAGGAUGUUUUCAUUAAUCAGGAACGAAAGUUAGGGGAUCGAAGACGAUCAGAUACCGUCGUAGUCUUAACCAUAAACUAUGCCGACCAGGGAUCGGACGAUGUUAUUUUUUGACUCGUUCGGCACCUUACACGAAAGUACAAGUUUCUGGGUUCUGGGGGGAGUAUGGUCGCAAG